Molecule: ribosomal RNA, 640 nt
Filed under: uncultured Dechloromonas sp.
Lineage: Bacteria; Pseudomonadati; Pseudomonadota; Betaproteobacteria; Rhodocyclales; Azonexaceae
Description: bacterial SSU rRNA
Rfam family: Bacterial small subunit ribosomal RNA
Source: RNAcentral
CGGCNGCAAGNUAAAACUCAAAGGAAUUGACGGGGACCCGCACAAGCGGUGGAUGAUGUGGAUUAAUUCGAUGCAACGCGAAAAACCUUACCUACCCUUGACAUGUCCAGAAGCCUGAAGAGAUUUAGGUGUGCCCGAAAGGGAGCUGGAACACAGGUGCUGCAUGGCUGUCGUCAGCUCGUGUCGUGAGAUGUUGGGUUAAGUCCCGCAACGAGCGCAACCCUUGUCGUUAAUUGCCAUCAUUUAGUUGGGCACUUUAACGAGACUGCCGGUGACAAACCGGAGGAAGGUGGGGAUGACGUCAAGUCCUCAUGGCCCUUAUGGGUAGGGCUUCACACGUCAUACAAUGGUCGGUACAGAGGGUUGCCAAGCCGCGAGGUGGAGCCAAUCCCAGAAAGCCGAUCGUAGUCCGGAUUGCAGGCUGCAACUCGCCUGCAUGAAGUCGGAAUCGCUAGUAAUCGCGGAUCAGCAUGUCGCGGUGAAUACGUUCCCGGGUCUUGUACACACCGCCCGUCACACCAUGGGAGCGGGUUCCGCCAGAAGUAGGUAGCCUAACCGCAAGGAGGGCGCUUACCACGGCGGGGUUCGUGACUGGGGUGAAGUCGUAACAAGGUAGCCGUAGGGGAACCUGCGGCUGGAU